GGGUCAAUGAUGACACCAAAAGUUGGCUUGAAGACAGAUAAUGACAUAAAAAUCAUGCCCAAUAGAAUUAUGCUGAGGCAC
This is a small nucleolar RNA of Trichechus manatus latirostris (Florida manatee), 81 nucleotides long. RefSeq annotates it as small nucleolar RNA SNORD115. The transcript has a single exon. The record is from RefSeq and is a predicted model, not a curated record. NCBI's taxonomy places the organism in Eukaryota, Metazoa, Chordata, Mammalia, Sirenia, Trichechidae.